GGUGCAUAUGAUGCCUCUUAGUGACCAAAGCCUGACCUUUGGUGAUGAGUUCUAACUGACUGACUACCCU
This 70-nucleotide small nucleolar RNA is filed under the name Procavia capensis (Cape rock hyrax). Lineage: Eukaryota; Metazoa; Chordata; Mammalia; Hyracoidea; Procaviidae. The record is from RNAcentral.